Molecule: long non-coding RNA, 349 nt
Organism: Hydra vulgaris (swiftwater hydra)
Lineage: Eukaryota; Metazoa; Cnidaria; Hydrozoa; Anthoathecata; Hydridae
Source: RefSeq, a predicted model, not a curated record
CAUCUUUUAAUACGUCCUUGCAGACACUUGAUAUCCUUCAUUUUAUUCAAAGUUAAUGGCGUAUGCUUUAAAAAAGCUUGAGUGUUAAAAGAAGGUUUUAUUAAUAUAUUUUUUUCUACUUUUUUACUUGUAAUGAAGAAAAAAUUUCUCAUCUCUUUCGUUUCAAUAUAGUACCACAUCAUUUCGAAACUAAAUGGAAUCAAAUCAAGAACAUUGUCAUGACUUUGACUUUUUUAAAGGUUAAAUAUAUAGUUUUACUGUACACUUACCGUGAUAUUGUUUUCAUAAGACAAGUAUUUGGAAAGCAGUCCAAGUUCCUAUUAGAAGAACACAAUAUCAGCUGUUGAAU